RNAcentral lists this transfer RNA (83 nucleotides) under Streptomyces sp. AcE210. RNAcentral's name for it is "tRNA-Leu". It matches the Rfam family "tRNA". Rfam says of the family: Transfer RNA (tRNA) molecules are approximately 80 nucleotides in length. Lineage: Bacteria; Bacillati; Actinomycetota; Actinomycetes; Kitasatosporales; Streptomycetaceae. RNAcentral also lists the same sequence under 6 other names. The record is from RNAcentral.
GCGGUCGUGAUGGAAUGGCAGACAUGUCGGGUUUAGGUCCCGGUGGGAGAAAUCCCGUGAGGGUUCGAAUCCCUCCGACCGCA